GACGAACGCUGGCGGCGUGCUUAACACAUGCAAGUCGAACGGAAAGGCCCUGCUUGCAGGGUGCUCGAGUGGCGAACGGGUGAGUAACACGUGGGUGAUCUGCCCCUUACUUUGGGAUAAGCCUGGGAAACUGGGUCUAAUACUGGAUAGGACCAUGCUGUAGGUGGUGUGGUGGAAAGAUUAGUUUCGGUAAGGGAUGAGCUCGCGGCCUAUCAGCUUGUUGGUGGGGUAAUGGCCUACCAAGGCGUCGACGGGUAGCCGGCCUGAGAGGGUGGACCGCCACAUUGGGACUGAGAUACGGCCCAGACUCCUACGGGAGGCAGCAGUGGGGAAUAUUGCACAAUGGGCGCAAGCCUGAUGCAGCGACGCCGCGUGGGGGAUGACGGCCUUCGGGUUGUAAACUCCUUUCAGCCAUGACGAAGCCCUUGUGGUGACGGUAGUGGUAGAAGAAGCACCGGCUAACUACGUG
Molecule: ribosomal RNA, 469 nt
Filed under: uncultured bacterium
Lineage: Bacteria
Description: partial 16S ribosomal RNA
Rfam family: Bacterial small subunit ribosomal RNA
Source: RNAcentral